AUACAUUUAGUUUAAUUGAGAAUGGAAGCUUGUCAUGCUUUAGGUAACUCUGUAGUAUAUCCAGUUAGUGUAUG
RNAcentral lists this transfer RNA (74 nucleotides) under Schistosoma mansoni. Its description in RNAcentral is "tRNA-Asp". The record is from RNAcentral. Lineage: Eukaryota; Metazoa; Platyhelminthes; Trematoda; Strigeidida; Schistosomatidae.